RNAcentral lists this ribosomal RNA (443 nucleotides) under uncultured bacterium. RNAcentral describes it as "partial 16S ribosomal RNA". It matches the Rfam family "Bacterial small subunit ribosomal RNA", at positions 338 to 795 of the family's 1533-position model. The record is from RNAcentral.
CCUACGGGGGGCAGCAGUGGGGAAUAUUGGGCAAUGGGGGCAACCCUGAUCCAGCGACGCCGCGUGAGUGAAGAAGUCUUUCGGUUUGUAAACCUCUAUUAUCAGGGACGAAGCAAGUGACGGUACCUGACUAAUAAGCCACGGCUAACUACGUGCCAGCAGCCGCGGUAAUACGUAGGGGGCAAGCGUUAUCCGGAUUUACUGGGUGUAAAGGGAGCGUAGGCGGGGAAGCAAGUCAGAAGUGAAAGGCGUGGGCUCAACCUGUGGACUGCAUUGGAAAAUGUAUGUCUGGAGUGCUGGAGAGGCAGAUGGAAUUCCUAGUGUAGCGGUGAAAUGCGUAGAUAUUAGGAGGAACACCAGUGGCGAAGGCGGUCUACUGGACUGCAACUGACGCUGAGGCGCGAAAGCGUGGGGAGCAAACAGGAUUAGAUACCCGUGUAGUC